Long non-coding RNA from Harpia harpyja (harpy eagle), 1107 nucleotides. RefSeq lists it as uncharacterized. The transcript has 3 exons. The record is from RefSeq and is a predicted model, not a curated record. NCBI's taxonomy places the organism in Eukaryota, Metazoa, Chordata, Aves, Accipitriformes, Accipitridae.
UUUUAGAAACACACCUGUGAAAGCUGUGCCUCUCUGCUGCGUUUCAGAUAAUGGUCAGUGAUGCUGAAAGAAAUAUAUGCAGGAGAAAGCAAGCAAGGGCUGCUGAGAAGCCUGUGGGGCUGGAGCAUAACAGAGGAAGACGGGACGAGCUGAGAAAAAACAACAGAGAGGAAAAUCUUGGAGUUUCUGGCCAUCAGAGCAAAAAGGGACUGAAGGGAUUCUGAUUCUUUAACAGAUUCGACUUCAAAUGUGCAAGUGACAAAAACUGGUACCUCAGGAUAAUCCUGCCUCUCAUUAGUGGACUGCCUGAAAAUAAGCUGGUUUUGGGGAAGAGUACAAAAACCCCACGGGAGAAGAGAUGCGUAAUAUUUCAGCUGUUCACUGUCUGCUUUGUUGCAGAAAGUAUCUUUAUGGUCACAUGUUUGAAAGGAUUAGGAGGUGUAAGCAGUGACCCUCCGAGUGCUUCAGACAGAGAACUGCAAAUCUGGGGGAUUUUCAGUGCUCUGUGGUCUGGUGACAUGCAGUGUGAUGCCAGAGUAUGCUACCUCUCUGUGGGAUAGCUAUCCCAAUUUAAAAGCUACCUGCUAAAACUCUUGUUAAGACAUGGCAAUUUGUUUUAAACUGGCUGCUAGUUUUGUAAGAGCCAAGACUCUUGGGUAGGGUUGUGAAUAAGUGUGCAAGUGGCUGAACUUGAAGAGCUCACCUCAGCAGUUCCUAUCAGUAACUAACAAUCGACUGCACCGUUAUCGUGAUAUCUAUACUUUAUCCAAUGAAAGUGUCAUUUAAGUCAAUUUAAUUAGGUUUGAGUUAACAUCUCCUGGGAGCACAUUACAUCUUUUAAAGAUAUCAUUCCAGGCAAGCAGUAGCUUUAGACUGGCACUGCUUCAUUGGUUAAAUUCAUGUAUUUUCAGUUACUGUCAUAACCGUAAGGGCUGAGAGUUGGUUAAAAAAAAAAAAGUGUAGUCUAGAGCAUAAUGACGUGAUAGCUUUUUAAUAAACUGGCAAAUACAUACGUACUAACCUCGCCCUACUAUCUUGCUGUAUCAGGGUCCUGCUGUCUCUUUCAGGGCAGGUGGAUUGGUGAGAAAUGCAACUUGUUUAUUAAAU